ACACCUUCUAGCUUCUCUUACAGCUGUGAAUUCUUCUCUGGAUGAUGAUCAUAAAUACACCUUUCCAUUUCCAAAUACAUAAUAUGAAAGGGUGCUUUGUUCCGUUGUAAUUGUCUCGUGCUCCAAGACUUGCAGUUGGAGUACCCCAAGUUCACGUCCCAUCAUGCUCUGGGGGAAACAAGGUAUUGUUGAUCAUCAUCUUGACAAGUUGUCCUGAGAAAGCAAAACAAAGAGAAGAAGACAUUUUAUGAUCUCAUCUCAAGGAAGUGAGGUCUCUUGAGUGAGUAGCCAGGAGCUUUCCUUCAGAGUUCCAGCAGAGUGACUUCGCAAGAAACAUGACCAACUCAGUGCCAGCACGGAGUACAGCCUGAAGUCAGAAACGGUGACAUGACAAGAGGUUCUUGUUUGUUUUAGCUAUCCUUUUUUUUUCAAUAUAGAGUUGCGUAUUGUUCUUUCAAGAUCUGUAAAGAAUUGUGUUGGAAUUUUGAUGGGAAUUGCACUGAAUCUGUAGAUUGCUUUUGGCCUCCUCAGGAAGGCAGGCAGGCAGAGCCAUGGACUGGAUGAUGGACAACAGGGGAGAGCAGAAGAUUCACCUCUGCUGGCUGUGCCAUAGGUAGACCUGGCAGGACAUAUAAAGGCUAUAUUGAUUUACUUACCUCCAAGUUUUGCCCUGAUGAAAAUGUCUGAUACUUUCCUGGAAUUCCAUCUCCUGUCCUGUUUUAGUUCUUCUGU
This is a non-coding RNA of Rattus norvegicus (Norway rat), 732 nucleotides long. Lineage: Eukaryota; Metazoa; Chordata; Mammalia; Rodentia; Muridae. The record is from RefSeq and is a predicted model, not a curated record.